RNAcentral lists this ribosomal RNA (253 nucleotides) under uncultured bacterium. RNAcentral's name for it is "partial 16S ribosomal RNA". It matches the Rfam family "Bacterial small subunit ribosomal RNA", at positions 524 to 776 of the family's 1533-position model. The record is from RNAcentral.
UACGGAGGGAGCUAGCGUUGUUCGGAAUUACUGGGCGUAAAGCGCACGUAGGCGGCUUUCUAAGUCGGGGGUGAAAUCCUGGAGCUCAACUCCAGAACUGCCUUCGAUACUGGAGAGCUUGAGUCCGGGAGAGGUGAGUGGAACUGCGAGUGUAGAGGUGAAAUUCGUAGAUAUUCGCAAGAACACCAGUGGCGAAGGCGGCUCACUGGCCCGGUACUGACGCUGAGGUGCGAAAGCGUGGGGAGCAAACAGG